This 497-nucleotide ribosomal RNA is filed under the name uncultured bacterium. Its description in RNAcentral is "partial 16S ribosomal RNA". It matches the Rfam family "Bacterial small subunit ribosomal RNA", at positions 28 to 507 of the family's 1533-position model. The record is from RNAcentral.
GACGAACGCUGGCGGCGUGCCUAAUACAUGCAAGUUGAGCGCUGAAGGUUGGUACUUGUACCAACUGGAUGAGCAGCGAACGGGUGAGUAACGCGUGGGGAAUCUGCCUUUGAGCGGGGGACAACAUUUGGAAACGAAUGCUAAUACCGCAUAAAAACUUUAAACACAAGUUUUAAGUUUGAAAGAUGCAAUUGCAUCACUCAAAGAUGAUCCCGCGUUGUAUUAGCUAGUUGGUGAGGUAAAGGCCCACCAAGGCGAUGAUACAUAGCCGACCUGAGAGGGUGAUCGGCCACAUUGGGACUGAGACACGGCCCAAACUCCUACGGGAGGCAGCAGUAGGGAAUCUUCGGCAAUGGACGAAAGUCUGACCGAGCAACGCCGCGUGAGUGAAGAAGGUUUUCGGAUCGUAAAACUCUGUUGGUAGAGAAGAACGUUGGUGAGAGUGGAAAGCUCGUCAAGUGACGGUAACUACCCAGAAAGGGACGGCUAACUACGUG